GAUGAAGAACGUAGCGAAAUGCGAUACUUGGUGUGAAUUGCAGAAUCCCGUGAACCAUCGAGUCUUUGAACGCAAGUUGCGCCUCAAGCCAUUAGGUUGAGGGCACGUCUGCCUGGGCGUCACAUAUCGUUGCCUGAUGCCAGUUUCCUCGUGAUGGGUGACUGUGCAGGGCGAAUGAUGGCUUCCCGUGAGCAUUGUUGCCUCAUGGUUGGUUGAAAAUUGAGUCCUUGGUAGGGAGCGCCGUGAUAGAUGGUGGUUGAGUGACGAACGAGACCCAAUCAUGUGAGACCCCUACCGAAUUUGGCCUUCAUGACCGACAUGCGUCUUUGGAACGCUCAUGACGAGACCUCAGGUCAGGCGGGGCUACCCGCUGAGUUUAAGCAUAUCAAUAAGCGGAGGA
RNAcentral lists this unclassified non-coding RNA (400 nucleotides) under soil metagenome. Its description in RNAcentral is "partial contains 5.8S ribosomal RNA, internal transcribed spacer 2, and large subunit ribosomal RNA". The stretch from base 1 to 122 matches the Rfam family "5.8S ribosomal RNA", at positions 35 to 154 of the family's 154-position model. The record is from RNAcentral.